GGGGGGGGGGGGGGGGGGGGGGGGGGGGGGGGGGGCGGGGGGGCGGGCGGGGAGCGUGCGGCGCGGAUGUUAGCGGCGGACGGGUGAGUAACACGUGGAGAACCUACCUAUAAGACUGGGAUAACUUCGGGAAACCGGAGCUAAUACCGGAUAAUAUUUUGAACCGCAUGGUUCAAAAGUGAAAGACGGUCUUGCUGUCACUUAUAGAUGGAUCCGCGCUGCAUUAGCUAGUUGGUAAGGUAACGGCUUACCAAGGCAACGAUGCAUAGCCGACCUGAGAGGGUGAUCGGCCACACUGGAACUGAGACACGGCCCAGACUCCUACGGGAGGCAGCAGUAGGGAAUCUUCCGCAAUGGGCGAAAGCCUGACGGAGCAACGCCGCGUGAGUGAUGAAGGUCUUCGGAUCGUAAAACUCUGUUAUUAGGGAAGAACAUAUGUGUAAGUAACUGUGCACAUCUUGACGGUACCUAAUCAGAAAGCCACGGCUAACUACGUG
This 497-nucleotide ribosomal RNA is filed under the name uncultured bacterium. RNAcentral describes it as "partial 16S ribosomal RNA". It matches the Rfam family "Bacterial small subunit ribosomal RNA", at positions 38 to 507 of the family's 1533-position model. The record is from RNAcentral.